RNAcentral lists this ribosomal RNA (116 nucleotides) under Aestuariibacter sp. The record is from RNAcentral. Lineage: Bacteria; Pseudomonadati; Pseudomonadota; Gammaproteobacteria; Alteromonadales; Alteromonadaceae. RNAcentral also lists the same sequence under 1 other name.
UCUGGAGUCGAUAGCGUUGGGGUCCCACCUGUUCCCAUUCCGAACACAGAAGUUAAGCCCAAUUGCGCCGAUGAUACUCGGGUGUGAAGCCCCGGAAAAGUAGGACAACUCCAGAU